This 497-nucleotide ribosomal RNA is filed under the name uncultured bacterium. RNAcentral describes it as "partial 16S ribosomal RNA". It matches the Rfam family "Bacterial small subunit ribosomal RNA", at positions 28 to 507 of the family's 1533-position model. The record is from RNAcentral.
GAUGAACGCUGGCGGCGUGCCUAACACAUGCAAGUCGAGCGAAAAGACCAGGAGUUUGCGCCUCCGGCGUUAGCGGCGGAGGGGAGAGGAACUCGUGGUUAACCUACCUAUAAGACUGGGAUAAUAUCAGGAAACCGGAGCUAAUAACGGAUGAGAUAUUGAACCGCAUGGGUCCAUCGUUAAAGACGGUGUUGGUGUCAGUUAUAGCUUGCUCCGCGCCGCAUCAACUAGUUGGUAAGGUAACGGAUUAGCAAGGCAACGAUGCGUAGCCGACCUGAAAGGGUGUUUGCCCACACCGGAACAGAGGCACAUUCCACACACCUACGCGAAGCAGCAGUAGCGACUCCUACGCGAUGUGCCAGAGCCUAACAGUGCAACGCCGCGUAAGUGAUGAAGGUGUUCGGCUCGUAGAGCUCUGUUAGUCGGGAAGAUCAAAUGUGUAAUUACCUAGGCACGUCUUGACGGUACCUAAUGAGAAAGCCCCGGCUAACUACGUG